CAGUAGCCACGGUAAUACGUAGGUGGCAAGCGUUGUCCGGAAUUAUUGGGCGUAAAGCGCGCGCAGGUGGUUUAAUAAGUCUGAUGUGAAAGCCCACGGCUCAACCGUGGAGGGUCAUUGGAAACUGUUAAACUUGAGCGCAGGAGAGAAAAGUGGAAUUCCUAGUGUAGCGGUGAAAUGCGUAGAGAUUAGGAGGAACACCAGUGGCGAAGGCGGCUUUUUGGCCUGUAACUGACACUGAGGCGCGAAAGCGUGGGGAGCAAACAGGAUUAGAUACCCCCGUAGUCCCUGUCUCUUAUAC
Molecule: ribosomal RNA, 301 nt
Filed under: uncultured bacterium
Lineage: Bacteria
Description: partial 16S ribosomal RNA
Rfam family: Bacterial small subunit ribosomal RNA
Source: RNAcentral